CACCCAUAUUUGCUGAUCCUGGUUUCACAGCCGGUUCACAUCUGAUUGAAUAAGAACGGAUCCCAAAUGCAAAGUUAAUGUCACAGCAAGGUCCAAGCUGUCUUGUGGCACAUCACAUCACCUCAGUCUCCUGCCAUCAGGGGGGGUGGAGGCUGAGGGGCAUGCGAGUGAGGACCAACAGACUGAGAGACAGGUUUGUCCAUCAGGCUGUCAGGAUGGAAAACUCUCUCCCAACCAUCACUUCCUCACCCUUUGUGGACUCUGGAGGGACAAACUUGAAUGUGAGUGUGAAAGAAAGUCUCAAAGAAAGGAAACAGGUGAGGACAGGAAUAACAGUCCUGUCUUAGGAGAAAGGGGGCUACGUAAGCAUGGAGUUAAAAAAACACGCCAGGACCUGAC
This is a non-coding RNA of Doryrhamphus excisus (bluestripe pipefish), 399 nucleotides long. Lineage: Eukaryota; Metazoa; Chordata; Actinopteri; Syngnathiformes; Syngnathidae. The record is from RefSeq and is a predicted model, not a curated record.